AUUGCAUUCGUGUUCGAGAACAACAAGAAUUUAUACUGGGAAAUGUAUGGAGCUAAUUCAAUGGUGGAGAUGAGUCGCGAUGUAGUGUGUUUAGGGUUUUUGGAUGCAGGUGAUGAGCCUAUAAUAACGACACCUAUAGUGAUUGGGGCACACCAGUUGCAGGAUAAUCUUCUUCAGUUUGAUCUAGCUUCUAAUCGAUUGGCCUUUACUUCCACACUUCUCUUGGAAGAAGUCGAA
This 237-nucleotide unclassified non-coding RNA is filed under the name Hevea brasiliensis (rubber tree). Lineage: Eukaryota; Viridiplantae; Streptophyta; Magnoliopsida; Malpighiales; Euphorbiaceae. The record is from RNAcentral.